UGGCUCAGAACGAACGCUGGCGGCAUGCCUAACACAUGCAAGUAGAACGAGCACCGCCG
This 59-nucleotide ribosomal RNA is filed under the name uncultured organism. RNAcentral's name for it is "partial small subunit ribosomal RNA". The record is from RNAcentral.